Molecule: ribosomal RNA, 493 nt
Filed under: uncultured bacterium
Lineage: Bacteria
Description: bacterial SSU rRNA
Rfam family: Archaeal small subunit ribosomal RNA
Source: RNAcentral
AGUGAAUAGAUACCCAGGUAGUCCUAGCCGUAAACGAUACUCGCUAGGUGUCGGCCACGGUGCGACCGUUGUCGGUGCCGUAGGGAAAGCCGUGAAGCGAGCCACCUGGGAAGUACGGCCGCAAGGCUGAAACUUAAAGGAAUUGGCGGGGGAGCACCACAACGGGUGGAGCUUGCGGUUUAAAUUGGAUUCAACGCCGGAAAUCUUACCGGGACCGACAGCAAUACGAAGGCCAGGCUGAAGACUUUGUCCGGAUUAGCUGAGAGGUGGUGCACGGCCGUCGUCAGUUCGUACUGUGAAAGCAUCCUGUUAAGUCAGGCAACGAGCGAGACCCACGCCCACAGUUGCCAGCGUACUCUCCGGAGUGACGGGUACACUGUGGGGACCGCCGCUGCUAAAGCGGAGGAAGGAAUGGCAACGGUAGGUCAGUAUGCCCCGAAUAUCCCGGGCUACACGCGAGCUACAAUGGUUGGUACAAUGGGUAUCUACCCCG